CCCUUAGAUGUUCUGGGCAGCACGCGCGCUACAAUGGUCUUCGCAAACGGAUGCAUUCUCGAAGGAGAAUGCCAAUCUUGGAAUCUAUGCCUUGGUCGGGACAGUUGCUUGCAAUUUUUCGACUCGAACCAGGAAUUCCUUGUAAUCGUGAUUCAUCACAUCACGAUGAAUACGUCCCUGCCCUUUGUACACACCGUCCGUCGCUCCUACCGAUCGAAGAGUUAGGUGAAUUGUUUUGAUCGAUAAGAUUUGACUAUGGUCAACUCUCGUUGUGAAAUUCUGUGAAUCUGACUGUUUAGAGGAAGGAAAAGUCGUAACA
RNAcentral lists this ribosomal RNA (319 nucleotides) under uncultured eukaryote. Its description in RNAcentral is "partial 18S ribosomal RNA". It matches the Rfam family "Eukaryotic small subunit ribosomal RNA", at positions 1470 to 1796 of the family's 1831-position model. The record is from RNAcentral.